AGAGUUUGAUCCUGGCUCAGGAUGAACGCUGGCGGCGCAUUUAAGACAUGCAAGUCGAACGGAAACAGAUUUGAUGUUUACAUUGAAUCUGUUUUAGUGGCGGACGGGUGAGUAACACGUAGGUAACCUACCAUAGAGUAUGCGAUAACUAGAAGAAAUUUUAGAUAAUAGCAUAUAAGACCACACCAUCACAUGAUGGAGCGGUAAAAGGAGAAAUUCGCUUUAUGAUGGACCUGCGGCUGAUUAGUUAGUUGGAGUGAUAAAAGCACACCAAGACGAUGAUCAGUAGCCGGGCUGAGAGGCUGGCCGGCCACAUUGGGACUGAGAUACGGCCCAGACUCCUACGGGAGGCAGCAGUGGGGAAUAUUGCACAAUGGGGGAAACCCUGAUGCAGCAACGCCGCGUGAGUGAUGACGGUCUUCGGAUUGUAAAGCUCUGUCUUCAGGGACGAUAAUGACGGUACCUGAGGAGGAAGCCACGGCUAACUACGUGCCAGCAGCCGCGGUAAUACGUAGGUGGCAAGCGUUGUCCGGAUUUACUGGGCGUAAAGGGAGCGUANGUGGAUAUUUAAGUGGGAUGUGAAAUACUCGGGCUUAACCUGGGUGCUGCAUUCCAAACUGGAUAUCUAGAGUGCAGGAGAGGAAAGUAGAAUUCCUAGUGUAGCGGUGAAUGCGUAGAGAUUAGGAAGAAUACCAGUGGCGAAGGCGACUUUCUGGACUGUAACUGACACUGAGGCUCGAAAGCGUGGGGAGCAAACAGGAUUAGAUACCCUGGUAGUCCACGCCGUAACGAUGAAUACUAGGUGUAGGGGUUGGUCAUGACUCUGUGC
Molecule: ribosomal RNA, 829 nt
Filed under: uncultured bacterium
Lineage: Bacteria
Description: bacterial SSU rRNA
Rfam family: Bacterial small subunit ribosomal RNA
Source: RNAcentral